GUGCCAGCCGCCGCGGUAAUACGAAGGGGGCUAGCGUUGUUCGGAAUUACUGGGCGUAAAGCGCGCGCAGGUGGUCUUUCAAGUCAGUGGUGAAAGCCCGGAGCUCAACUCCGGAAAUGCCAUUGAAACUGUAAGACUUGAGGAUGAGAGAGGUGAGUGGAAUUCCCAGUGUAGAGGUGAAAUUCGUAGAUAUUGGGAAGAACACCGGUGGCGAAGGCGGCUCACUGGCUCAUAUCUGACGCUCAGGCGCGACAGCGUGGGGAUCAAACAGGAUUAGAUACCCUGGUAGUCC
RNAcentral lists this ribosomal RNA (292 nucleotides) under uncultured bacterium. Its description in RNAcentral is "partial 16S ribosomal RNA". It matches the Rfam family "Bacterial small subunit ribosomal RNA", at positions 505 to 796 of the family's 1533-position model. The record is from RNAcentral.